UGGGGAAUAUUGGGCAAUGGGCGCAAGCCUGACCCAGCAACGCCGCGUGAAGGAAGAAGGCUUUCGGGUUGUAAACUUCUUUGUCAGGGACGAGAAGAAGACGGUACCUGACGAAUAAGCCACGGCUAACUACGUGCCAGCAGCCGCGGUAAUACGUAGGUGGCAAGCGUUGUCCGGAUUUACUGGGUGUAAAGGGCGAGUAGGCGGACCUGCAAGUCAGAUGUGAAAUCCCCGGGCUUAACCCGGGAACUGCAUUUGAAACUGUAGGCCUUGAGUGAUGGAGAGGCAGGCGGAAUUCCCGGUGUAGCGGUGGAAUGCGUAGAUAUCGGGAGGAACACCAGUGGCGAAGGCGGCCUGCUGGACAUUAACUGACGCUGAGGAGCGAAAGCGUGGGGAG
This 397-nucleotide ribosomal RNA is filed under the name uncultured Oscillospiraceae bacterium. RNAcentral describes it as "bacterial SSU rRNA". It matches the Rfam family "Bacterial small subunit ribosomal RNA", at positions 355 to 768 of the family's 1533-position model. Lineage: Bacteria; Bacillati; Bacillota; Clostridia; Eubacteriales; Oscillospiraceae. The record is from RNAcentral.